AGCAGGACCAAGUAUCUUCCCUGACAGAUUUUUGCCCUAGAUCCCUAAAUGGCCCUCUCAAGGACUGAACCUACAACUCUGGGUUUAGCAGGCCAAUGCUCAAACUACUGAGCUAUCCCUCCCCCUGUUAAGCACACACUUAAGUCUCUUUGGGACUUACCCAGGACUUUGCAGUUUUAAGUGAGUAAAACUAGAUUAAUUAAGAGGGGAAAUUUCAUUCAGACUGUUUGAGAUUCUUGUUUGGUUUUUUGUCAGCACCCAUCAAAUGCCUGAGAAACACUUUGGAGAAAGGCUCUUUUUGCUAAAAAUUCAACACCCAAGACCCUCUGCAGGAGAUGAGCCCAGUGAAUUCCCCAACAUAACCAAGGAAAACUAGAUGUGAAGCUCUGGCUAUCACUGAGAGGCAACAAGCAGAAUUAAAAAAAAAGGGCUCAAGGAGUUUAUCUAAAGAGCUGUCACUACAAAGGCGAAGAAGGACGAGGGUCGCCGAAUAGGACGGCAACAGCUGCCCCCAUAUUAGAAUGGAGACACAGCACAGUCAACGCCAGAAAAAUAAGCAGGGAGGUCACACAAACAAGAACACCCAGUGGAGUUCAUUUAAUCCCAGACAAACAACCACCCAACAAGCCAGCCAGCCCCUGGAGACUCACAGAGCUGAUGGUGAUAAUUAACCACGAGCCAGGAGUCUGAGGAGCUGAGUGAUCACCCGAGAAGAAGGCACCUGAGGUUUGGAGAGAGACUCUGGUGCCAUGAAAACAAAGGAUAUGAAGGUCUAGUUUUCUAAAACAGUCAAUGCCAGCAGCCCUGCACUCGUGAGUAACAAACAGCCCAAUGCUUCUGAGCUACCCUACAAUAACAAGCCAGCAUGAGCAGUCCAGUGCUUCUUAACAGCCGUACAAUCCCAAGCACCAAUUCCUGCAUGAGAAGACAUGCAUGCAGGGGAACACAGCUGGAAGCGUGUCCAUGUGUGGCUGUACAGGAAGACUCACAACUCCACUGCGGAUCUGGCUCAAUGUGCUACAGGUAACCACACCAGAGAUGAUGGGAUUGCCACGAAGACAAGAUUCCCUUCGGAAUGAUACAGUCUAGGCUGAAUAUCAGGAAAACCACCUGGCAGUGAGAUCUUGGUGGGUGUGACGUCAUCUCAAGAAAAGGAGCCACAACCAC
This 1167-nucleotide long non-coding RNA is filed under the name Chrysemys picta bellii (western painted turtle). Its description in RNAcentral is "lncRNA (ENSCPBG00000015616.1)". Lineage: Eukaryota; Metazoa; Chordata; Testudines; Emydidae. The record is from RNAcentral.